AGAGUUUGAUCCUGGCUCAGGAUGAACGCUAGCGCAGGCCUAAUACAUGCAAGUCGAGGGGUAACAGGAAUAGCAAUAUUUGCUGACGACCGGCGCACGGGUGCGUAACACGUAUGUAAUCUGCCCAUCACUGGAGGAUAGCCCGGAGAAAUCCGGAUUAAUACUCCAUAACAGAAGACAAGGCAUCUUGUUUUUUUGAAAGCUCCGGCGGUGAUGGAUGAACAUGCGACUGAUUAGUUUGUUGGUGAGGUAACGGCUCACCAAGACUACGAUCGGUAGGGGUACUGAGAGGUUAAACCCCCACACUGGUACUGAGACACGGACCAGACUCCUACGGGAGGCAGCAGUAAGGAAUAUUGGACAAUGGCCGCAAGGCUGAUCCAGCCAUGCCGCGUGCAGGAAGACGGACCUAUGGUUUGUAAACUGCUUUUGAAUGGGAGAAAACCCCCCUACGUGUAGGGGGCUGAUAGUACCAUUAGAAUAAGCAUCGGCUAACUUCGUGCCAGCAGCCGCGGUAAGACGAAGGAUGCAAGCGUUAUCCGGAUUCAUUGGGUUUAAAGGGAGCGUAGGCGGACUUGUAAGACAGUGGUGAAAUCUGUGGGCUUAACCCACAAACUGCCAUUGAUACUGCAGGUCUAGAGUACAGUUGCCGUUGGCGGAAUAUGACAUGUAGUGGUGAAAUACUUAGAUAUGUCAUAGAACACCGAUUGCGAAGGCAGCUAACGAAGCUGUAACUGACGCUGAGGCUCGAAAGUGCGGGGAUCAAACAGGAUUAGAUACCCUGGUAGUCCGCGCUGUAAACGAUGAUUACUCGCUGCUGGGGAGCAAUUUCCAGUGACCAAGCGAAAGCGAUAAGUAAUCCACCUGGGGAGUACGCCGGCAACGGUGAAACUCAAAGGAAUUGACGGGGGCCCGCACAAGCGGAGGAGCAUGUGGUUUAAUUCGAUGAUACGCGAGGAACCUUACCAGGGCUUGAAAGUUAGGGAAUGAUCCUGAAAGGGAUCAGUCAGCAAUGACCCGAAACUAGGUGCUGCAUGGCUGUCGUCAGCUCGUGCCG
This 1057-nucleotide ribosomal RNA is filed under the name uncultured bacterium. Its description in RNAcentral is "bacterial SSU rRNA". It matches the Rfam family "Bacterial small subunit ribosomal RNA", at positions 8 to 1067 of the family's 1533-position model. The record is from RNAcentral.